GAUGAACGCUAGCGACAGGCUUAACACAUGCAAGUCGAGGGGCAGCACAGGUAGCAAUACCGGGUGGCGACCGGCGCACGGGUGAGUAACGCGUAUGCAACUUGCCUAUCAGAGGGGGAUAACCCGGCGAAAGUCGGACUAAUACCGCAUGAAGCAGGGAUCCCGCAUGGGAAUAUUUGCUAAAGAUUCAUCGCUGAUAGAUAGGCAUGCGUUCCAUUAGGCAGUUGGCGGGGUAACGGCCCACCAAACCGACGAUGGAUAGGGGUUCUGAGAGGAAGGUCCCCCACAUUGGUACUGAGACACGGACCAAACUCCUACGGGAGGCAGCAGUGAGGAAUAUUGGUCAAUGGCCGAGAGGCUGAACCAGCCAAGUCGCGUGAGGGAUGAAGGUUCUAUGGAUCGUAAACCUCUUUUAUAAGGGAAUAAAGUGCGGGACGUGUCCCGUUUUGUAUGUACCUUAUGAAUAAGGAUCGGCUAACUCCGUGCCAGCAGCCGCGGUAAUACGGAGGAUCCGAGCGUUAUCCGGAUUUAUUGGGUUUAAAGGGUGCGUAGGCGGCCUUUUAAGUCAGCGGUGAAAGUCUGUGGCUCAACCAUAGAAUUGCCGUUGAAACUGGGGGGCUUGAGUAUGUUUGAGGCAGGCGGAAUGCGUGGUGUAGCGGUGAAAUGCAUAGAUAUCACGCAGAACCCCGAUUGCGAAGGCAGCCUGCCAAGCCAUGACUGACGCUGAUGCACGAAAGCGUGGGGAUCAAACAGGAUUAGAUACCCUGGUAGUCCACGCAGUAAACGAUGAUCACUAGCUGUUUGCGAUACACUGUAAGCGGCACAGCGAAAGCGUUAAGUGAUCCACCUGGGGAGUACGCCGGCAACGGUGAAACUCAAAGGAAUUGACGGGGGCCCGCACAAGCGGAGGAACAUGUGGUUUAAUUCGAUGAUACGCGAGGAACCUUACCCGGGUUUGAACGCAUUCGGACCGAGGUGGAAACACCUUUUCUAGCAAUAGCCGUUUGCGAGGUGCUGCAUGGUUGUCGUCAGCUCGUGCCGUGAGGUGUCGGCUUAAGUGCCAUAACGAGCGCAACCCUUGCCACUAGUUACUAACAGGUAAAGCUGAGGACUCUGGUGGGACUGCCAGCGUAAGCUGCGAGGAAGGCGGGGAUGACGUCAAAUCAGCACGGCCCUUACAUCCGGGGCGACACACGUGUUACAAUGGCGUGGACAAAGGGAAGCCACCUGGCGACAGGGAGCGAAUCCCCAAACCACGUCUCAGUUCGGAUCGGAGUCUGCAACCCGACUCCGUGAAGCUGGAUUCGCUAGUAAUCGCGCAUCAGCCAUGGCGCGGUGAAUACGUUCCCGGGCCU
This 1355-nucleotide ribosomal RNA is filed under the name uncultured bacterium. RNAcentral's name for it is "bacterial SSU rRNA". It matches the Rfam family "Bacterial small subunit ribosomal RNA", at positions 28 to 1381 of the family's 1533-position model. The record is from RNAcentral.